Long non-coding RNA from Crotalus tigris (Tiger rattlesnake), 1775 nucleotides. RefSeq lists it as uncharacterized. NCBI's taxonomy places the organism in Eukaryota, Metazoa, Chordata, Lepidosauria, Squamata, Viperidae. The record is from RefSeq and is a predicted model, not a curated record. The transcript is spliced from 3 exons.
GCUAGUAGAAGAGAGUGUGGUUUGCUGUCAGUUUAUGUUCAAGUAGCUUCUUUCAGUGUUGUUGAAAAUGGUCUUGGAGGUCCUUUGUUGUGCUAUUUGUUGUUAGCUUCUUUGACCGUUCCUUGAUUGCGGUAUUGUUUUCUUGCCAUGGCGAUGGUUUUUAGAACCUGAAAUAAAACCUCAACGGCCAUAUUAGCUAUGGCCGUGGAGGUUAGGGUUUUUUAGCUUUGCAGACUGAGUGGGGGAAGAAUUGCACAUCUCUGCCAAAAGUGCCUCGAAAGAGACAACGCUUGCUGGGCACGACUGAGGAAAAAGCAGAAGAAGAAAGAAGAAAGUAGAGAGCAUGAAAAUGUCUCCAGCUCAAGUCUUUCGGCUGUGAUGUGGCCUCCUACGCUGUGAGAAGACAGAAGACUCAGCUGUCAGCCUGCAGCAUUGAUGGAAAAAGAAGGAAUGGAACGCAAGAAUGAAUAUGAUCUCCAUCAAAAAUGAAUAUGAUCUCCAUCAAGAAUGCCCCUUCACCAAGUCAAUCACAACUCACCUUUACAUGAUAGAUUUUAGAGCAUUCUUGCCUGCUGUAAAUUUAGCCAUGGCAAUGGUUAUUAGAACCAAAAAAACCUCCUCAGUGGCCCUAUUUAAUCCUAGCCAUGGCUGUUGAUGGAUUAUAGAUUUUAUAGUUUUCUGCCUGGCAUAGUUUUAGCCCUGGCAAUGGUUCUUAGAACCAGAAAGAAAACUUCACUGGCUUUUUUAAAUGACCAGUGUGUGGCCAGUGCUUGGUAACAGAUUUUAUAAUUUUCUGCCUGGCAUAAAUUUAGCCCUGGCGAUGGUUCUUAGAACCAGAAAGAAAACCUCAUUGGCCCCUUUAAAUGACCAGUAUGUGGCCAGUGAUUGGUAAUAGAUUUUAUAGUUUUCUGCCUGGCGUAAUUUUAGCCCUGGCAAUGUUCUUAGAACCAGAAAUAAAACUUCACUGGCCCUUUUAAAUGACCAGUAUGUGGCCAGUGAUUGAUAAUAGAUUUUAUAAUUUUCUGCCUGGCAUAAUUCUAGCCCUGGCGAUGGUUCUUAGAACCAGAAAGAAAACCGCAUUGGCCCCUUUAAAUGACCAGUAUGUGGCCAGUGAUUGAUAAUAGAUUUUAUAGUUUUCUGCCUGGCAUAAUUCUAGCCCUGGCAAUGGUUCUUAGAACCAGAAAGAGAACCUCAACGGCCCUAUUUAAUGCUAGGUGUGGCCGUUGAUCUAUAGAAGAUUUUGUAGUUUUUGAAUCUCUGAGAUUGAGUGGAGGAACAAUUGCGCACCUGGUGCCAAUGUUCCUUGAAAGGGACAUGGGCAGAGGAAGAAGGAAAAGAACGAAGAAGAAAGAAGAGAGGAUGAAAAUGUCUCCAGCUCAAGACCUUCGGCGGUGAUGUGGCCUGCUACGUUGUGAGGCAUGUACUCUACACCACCUUAGAAGACAGAAGACUCAGCUGUCAGCCUGCGGCGUUGAAGGAAGAAGGAGGAACCGAAUGCAAGAACGAAUAUGAUCUCCAUCAAGAAUGCCCCUUCACCAAGUCAAUCACAACUCACCUUUACAUGAUAGAUUUUAGAGCAUUCUUGCCUGCUGUAGAUUUAGCCAUGGCAAUGGUUAUUAGAACCAAAAAAUCCUCCUCAGUGGCCCUAUUUAAUCCUAGCCAUGGCUGUUGAUGGAUUAUAGAUUUUAUAGUUUUCUGCCUGGCGUAAUUUUAGCCCUGGCGAUGGUUCUUUGAACCAGAAAGAAAACCUCAUUGGCCCUUUUAAAUGACCAGUG